CGAAACUGAAGAUGGCGACCGGCGCACGGGUGAGUAACGACGUAUCCAACCUGCCGAUAACUCCGGAAUAGCCUUUCGAAAGAAAGAUUAAUACCGGAUAGUAUACGAAUAUCGCAUGAUAUUUUUAUUAAAGAAUUUCGGUUAUCGAUGGGGAUGCGUUCCAUUAGUUUGUUGGCGGGGUAACGGCCCACCAAGACUACGAUGGAUAGGGGUUCUGAGAGGAAGGUCCCCCACAUUGGAACUGAGACACGGUCCAA
This 257-nucleotide ribosomal RNA is filed under the name uncultured bacterium. Its description in RNAcentral is "partial 16S ribosomal RNA". It matches the Rfam family "Bacterial small subunit ribosomal RNA", at positions 77 to 334 of the family's 1533-position model. The record is from RNAcentral.